CUGGACUAGCCUGCCGGACCAGGCUGUGAAGGCUGAAUUAAGCUUCAUAGAGCCGAUUGUGUGGAGUCAAGGAUUUGGGUUGUCAUUACCCCAUGAAGCCAGGAAGCAAGAUCAGAGGAACUGGCUCAUGUUGGGGGUGUUGGGGUUCCUGGGCUGGAAGUCUUCUCUUCACGGGGCACAGAGAAGACUCAUUUCUACAAUCUCCAUUCACUACAUACCACCUGGCAACUGGCAGCUGUCCACAAUAUUGAAUAUGGAGAGGACAGCACAGUGGGUGAACCCCGAUGGGGUCUGAGUCCCCAGCUUGGUGGUCUGCGUGGCUGUCUCCUCUUCUGCCUGUCCUUCUCUU
This 349-nucleotide long non-coding RNA is filed under the name Homo sapiens (human). RNAcentral's name for it is "HSALNT0100508". Lineage: Eukaryota; Metazoa; Chordata; Mammalia; Primates; Hominidae. The record is from RNAcentral.